CUAGAAAUAAGACAUUUUGACUUGAAAUAAGACAAAUAAUCUUGGUAAGAUUUUGCGUUUUUGCAGUGUGGUGCAGCAGCCGGGCAGAAGUCUGUUCUGCUCGCUCCGGUUCUACAGUCGCAGUCCUGUGUCUUCUGGAUGCUCAGUGAAUUUUACUUGCGCAACUUCCUGAGGUGAAGCUUAUUAACGUCGGCAGGUUGUAAUCCUUGCUAAAAAUGUUAGGGCUAGAAGUUAACAUCAGGUUCUAACUUUUUUUUUUUUUUUUUUUUUUUGUCUGUGUCGUUCUCUUUAGCGUUCUGAUCAGCGGCCGCCUGCUGCAGGCCGCACUUAAACUGAUGGGUCCAUGUUUGGUACAUGUCGGCAUGAACUAGGUUUUUUUUUUUUUUUUUUUUUUCAAAAUUUUUAAAGUGAUUAUUGUCAUUAUAUCUGUAUUUUUAGCUCUGAUAAUAUUUUUAAUCCUAUUGAAUGUUUUUCCAUCAUUGUGUGUUUUUUUUUUUUUUUGUUAGUUUGUUUUGUUUUAUUUGAGCUCGUUGUGUAUUCGAUUCACAGUUGAACUGGAUGCAGCCUCACCAGCUGACGAGACAUUUCUCUGGGAUUGUAAAUGAUGACAUUUAAAUAACUUUAGAUUUGCGUCCACACACACACAGCUGAAUCGAAGGCAGCUGGGCUGGUUUGGAGAUUCUCAGAGACGUUUCGCUUCUUCAGUUCUGACUCCACCGACACUGAACGCAGUCGUCACAGCAGAGAUGAGGUUAUUUCAGUGUCGGGGAGAGCGUCUCCACGUGGCUUCAACACCCGGGACUCCCCUCCCGUCCGUCGGAGCUGAAGAAGCUUCACGGAAACGAAGCGAAACGUCUCCAAGCGUCUAAAACAGUCCAGCUGACCUGGAUCCAGCUCUGUGGAGAACCAUGACCUGGAUGGCUGAGGACCUCCUCAGACAGCAUCCGGUCAGCAGUGUUGGCACUGACACGACUUACUGACUGUUACACAGCCUGAACGAUUUGAACCACCACACAAAUAAAGGAGUUAAUUAGAUUUUAGAAAGGUGGUACAGCCAACUUUGCUCACUGCCAUUAGUUUGAGCUCCUAAAGAAAAGAAACGGUGCAGGGGAACUAAAGAUUCCACAACAUAAAAUCAGAAUCCGUCCGUUUUGAACCGGGUUUCGACCAACACACUCCUGUGAAGGAUGUGUUGACAUGAGGGAGGAUCAGAAAGCGGCACGGGGCUUUUCCGGUUGUGUUAUUGUUGUGAGAUGUCAUCCAUCCAUAACUCUCCUCAUUUUUUUUCUCCUUUCUGUUAUGACGGUAUGAGCGGUUGAAUUUUGCACCGCCUGCGGUCACACAUACGUUCUGAUCACGGCACAGAAACAGAGAUGUUGAAAUUCCUCCCAUCGCUCGAGAGUUAUUUUUUCUUCCUCUGAUGUGAAAAUAGGGCAGGUCACUGCUCGAGGCUGAAUUUUGGAGAAAGUACUCUUUGCGAGAGGGAGUGCAGAGCCUGAGUUUGGAAGUCCGGAGUGACUGAGUGAGCUGAUUUCCACUGCUGUCAUUUCAUUUUGCCGAGGCAGCUAAUGCAGAGAGAGCCCAGAUGUGUUUGGUGGUUCGCUCCUGAGGGCAGAGGGAAGGAGGGAACCAACCACAGCUGGCAGAGUCUGUGAGAGGCUGCUAAUGUGAGGAAUAUGAGAUUCAUUUAAAUAUUCAAAUUGGUUGGAUUCGGUUCCUUUUAGGACAGUUAGGUGAUUGGGAUCAAACUGUUCAAACUUUGACUUUUUGUUGACCUCAUUUGGGAGACGGAAAAAAAGCUUAAAGGUCCAAACUGUGAGAUGAGAGAAAGGGUCCAGGGUUCAGUCACCUUACGAGCGUCACCUUACGUUACCAUGCCAACUGCCUGGUUUCUGUUCAUCCCACUGAGAUGAUGACGAUUUUCCUCUCAAAUUGAGUUAAGGAGCGCUGAGACACACUCAUUUCUAGAGCUUCCACCGGCCGGUCCAGCCAGAAAUACCUUAACAUUACGGAGGAGGGUUAGGGCUACACAAAACUUUAAAAAACUGAGAUUAACGUCUCAAUUCUGAGAUUGUGACUUUUUUGCGCAAUUCCAGUCUCUGAUUAUUCUUGCUGUGCAGAGGUUGGUUCAAAUCAAUAUCGUGUUCCUCGGUGACCAGAAAGUCAGUUCAAGCCUCUGAAUCAUUUAGUAAAUAUGACAAAUUGCUCAUGUUAGACGUGAGGAGACACUUUAAGUUGAUGCUAAGUCACAAAAUGUUUGAAUAUGUCAGAGUGUUCUGUAAAACAGUUUGAUUUUGUUUUAACUUUAGUUGUUAACUCUGUUUUACUUAUUAAUGUUUUGAUGAUCAGGCUGUUCUCUGAUUACUUUCUCACUGCUAACGAACUGCAAAACAUUUUUCCUGGGAGAAACUGAGGCCUGUCAGGCGUCUUUGUGGACUUUGUGAUCUCGUCUGUGUGGUUUUAGGGCCCAAAAUGCCUCUUUUACAUGUGACAGUAAAUCAUAUAUUUCCUGAAUCCUUGGA
Long non-coding RNA from Myripristis murdjan (pinecone soldierfish), 2522 nucleotides. RefSeq lists it as uncharacterized. The transcript is spliced from 2 exons. Lineage: Eukaryota; Metazoa; Chordata; Actinopteri; Holocentriformes; Holocentridae. The record is from RefSeq and is a predicted model, not a curated record.